GACCUCUCAGACACAACACCAGCACCAUGGCCACUCCUACAGCCUUAAAACUCUCUCCAUUUUUAUGCCUCCCACCACACUCUGCUUUCUCCUUCCCGCUCUGACUGUCCCUUCUCUGUUCCCUUCCUGGCCUCCCAAGCACCUCAGCCAGGCCCUUAGGCACCAGUGUCCUCAGGGGUCUUCAGGGCUCCUCUUCGCAUCCCGGUCUACCUGCUCUGCUUUCAAGUUUGCAGGCUCUCUCAAGUUUUACCUAAAGGUUUUCCUAAAGACUCACUCUGUCACCCAGGCUGGAGUGCAGUGGCAUGAUCUCAGCUCACCGCAACCUCCGCCUCCCGGGUUCAAACAAUUCUUGUGCCUCAGCCUCCCGAGUAGCUGGGAUUACAGGCACAAUCCAGACAAGACAUCCCAGCACUGCUUCCAGACCUCUGCUUGAAGGUGGGAUUCUUAGUCUCCUGGACAUUCUUAGAGUCUGGCUUUACACCAGGUCUCCUUUGCACAAUGGCAACACCAGCAGUAUCUGCCCAUGUGUAAGAGAGCCUCUGCAACAGCCCAAUGGAGAAAUGGAGGAGUUUCCAGGCCCACGUAACACUCAGUCACAAUUGUCUCUUACCACUUGGGAUGACGAUGCAAUCACUUUUCUCCAAUUUUUUUUUUUUUUUUUUUUUUGAGGCAGCCUCACUGUCACCCAGGCUGGAGUGUAGUGGCGUGAUCUUGGCUUAUUGAAACCUCCACCUCCCGGGUUCAAGUGAUUCUCCUGCCUCAGCCUCCUGAGUAGCUGGGAUCAUGCCUACUGUAUCUCCAGCCUACAGAGAUGGAAUCUUGCUCUGUCACCCAGGCUGGAGUGCAGUGGUGUGAUCUCAGCUCACUGCAACCUCUGCCUCCCCAGUUCCAGGUUCAAGCAAUUCUCCAGCCUCAGCCUCCCGAGUAGCUGGGAUUACAGGCCAUAGUCUGCUUCAAAAAUAAUAAUAAUAAUAAUAAAAGACAAUAGUGAACAAG
RNAcentral lists this non-coding RNA (996 nucleotides) under Pongo abelii (Sumatran orangutan). Lineage: Eukaryota; Metazoa; Chordata; Mammalia; Primates; Hominidae. The record is from RNAcentral.